UACAGAGGGUGCGAGCGUUAAUCGGAAUUACUGGGCGUAAAGCGCACGUAGGUGGCGACGUAAGUCGGGUGUGAAAGCCCCGGGCUCAACCUGGGAAUUGCAUUCGAGACUGCAUUGCUGGAGUACGGAAGAGGAAGGCGGAAUUCCCGGUGUAGCGGUGAAAUGCGUAGAUAUCGAGAGGACACCUGCGGCGAAGGCGGGUUGCUGGGCCGACACUGACGCUGAGGCGCGAAAGCUAGGGGAGCGAACGGG
Molecule: ribosomal RNA, 252 nt
Filed under: uncultured bacterium
Lineage: Bacteria
Description: partial 16S ribosomal RNA
Rfam family: Bacterial small subunit ribosomal RNA
Source: RNAcentral